GGUCUGGUGGUCUAGUCGUAUGAUUCGCCCUUUGGGAUUAACUUCACAUCUGGGCGAGGUCCCGGGUUCAAUCCCCGGCCAGACCC
Non-coding RNA from Stachybotrys elegans, 86 nucleotides. The record is from the annotation of a GenBank genome assembly. Lineage: Eukaryota; Fungi; Ascomycota; Sordariomycetes; Hypocreales; Stachybotryaceae.